Molecule: long non-coding RNA, 1066 nt
Organism: Lethenteron reissneri (Far Eastern brook lamprey)
Lineage: Eukaryota; Metazoa; Chordata; Hyperoartia; Petromyzontiformes; Petromyzontidae
Source: RefSeq, a predicted model, not a curated record
UGGUGGUGGUGGACAGCGUGAAGCCAAGUUCACACGGAGUUAAUCCGUCACUCGCUGCUUAAAGGAGAGAAGGAGAGAGAGAGAGAAAAUGAGAGAGAGAGAGAGAAGAAAGAAGCGAGCAAAAAACAAGGAGGCGCCCAAGUUUGACAAGAGGCGAGUUGAGAACGCGACCCCAAUGGAAGCCGUGGCGACAUUCACUUCAAAUCUCAUCUCUCGGCCUCUCUCGGAGCCGCGCCGUCGAGUGAGUGUGCUCACGCCGACCGCGCGAGGAGUCCGCGUGUCCAGGCGAGGCGAGGUGGGGGACCCUGGGACCCACCCACGGGGGGAACAGCAGCGACGCGAGACGUCGCGGUGCCGGCUACGAACCGCCUUCAUCGCCGUGACUCGCAAUGAACCCUAAAGCACGGCGCCUCAGACAAUGCUGCAGCUGGGAUCUUCCCCCCCAUUUGCGAGAGGCGGCCACGUGACGGAACAGGCGGCGUCUUAUAAAAGGAUCGAGUCAUGGGACCCGACUUUGCAGACUUUUGAGGGCAAGUACCGUUCGCGAUUCACCUAUGAAGUCCGGCACGGCACACCAGGCGAUGGGUGACCAGCACCACGCCCGGCCGCCUUUGUCUCCCUUGUGGCGAUGUUUUCACAUCGCACCAGCCUCGUGGUUGAAUCCGGUGCACGGCAAUGCGAAUGGCGACAUUAAGUAUCGAGCUCACGUGGUGUUCCGCGCUGUCACUCUGUCGGGCAAGGCUCUCCGCGAAGGCAAAGCCUCUGCUGUCUCAGACCGAGUGCGCAGGAGUUUCACAGAUGGAGUGGCAACACGCGCCGUGUGUGUGCGCGCGUGUAAUCCCAAUGGAAUCAUAUUGCUGGGUAGUUUUUUUUAGAAUGUGGCAAAACUAAACAAUGUUGGAUCAUGACGCCGGACACACAACGGCCUCCUCACGUCCAACGACGCGUGGCGAUCUUAAACGUUCGCGGUAAUGCGGGUGAACACAACAUGCAAACAUAAAUUUCGAUUUAAAGCUUUCGUGACUGCAGGGAUUCAUCUUCUUGGUUCUUUCGGUAAAGUCACGUA